UGAUGCCACUGGUUCAACAUACUCUUUCCAGGAUAACUUUGUACCUGAGAGGGAGGGAGAACUUUUGGAGACAAUGAAAGUAGUGUAAGGACUGUGAUAUUGUAUACCCUCUGGUACUAGGUGAAACACUGUGAAAAAUCAAAUCUUCACUUCUCUGGUUUGCUCAACCUGAACUGAACAUGACCUUCACCAGUAUUUCUGGCUUCCUGUUGAGGAAUGAGAAUCAUUGAUGAUUUACAGGAUAGAGUCAUUUACGGCCAAGAUGCAGAAAGCAGAGGGUAAGUGACUUGCCCAAGGCCACAGAGAAACUCUGUGUCAUGUCACAGUGGAUGAGUAGAAUUUACAUAAAAGAACAUGAAGGAAAAAGAAGCAGAUGUGGAGCGGUCCAAAGGGUUUUCAAAUGCUUGGGAGCUACAGUUUGAGAUUGGAAAAUUUACUGUACAUCACAAGGAUAAAGAAGACUCACUUCAGAGCAACUAAUUUUAUCCAUCACCUUGAUGUUUUAAAAAGAAAUGAAAAGCAAAAACAAGCCAUGAAGAGGAGAGAGAAACAUGGAGCGAUUUUAUUAAUUUUUAGGCCGAUUCUACAAGUGUACAUCCAAACAAAAAACAUCACAAGCAAAAUUUUUACCCUGGAAAGAGAA
Molecule: long non-coding RNA, 643 nt
Organism: Mauremys mutica (yellowpond turtle)
Lineage: Eukaryota; Metazoa; Chordata; Testudines; Geoemydidae
Exons: 4
Source: RefSeq, a predicted model, not a curated record